RNAcentral lists this ribosomal RNA (467 nucleotides) under uncultured bacterium. RNAcentral describes it as "partial 16S ribosomal RNA". It matches the Rfam family "Bacterial small subunit ribosomal RNA", at positions 28 to 507 of the family's 1533-position model. The record is from RNAcentral.
GACGAACGCUGGCGGCGUGCUUAACACAUGCAAGUCGAACGGAAAGGCCCUGCUUUUGUGGGGUGCUCGAGUGGCGAACGGGUGAGUAACACGUGAGUAACCUGCCCUUGACUUUGGGAUAACUUCAGGAAACUGGGGCUAAUACCGGAUAGGAGCUCCUGCUGCAUGGUGGGGUUGGAAAGUUUCGGCGGUUGGGGAUGGACUCGCGGCUUAUCAGCUUGUUGGCGGGGUAGUGGCUUACCAAGGCUUUGACGGGUAGCCGGCCUGAGAGGGUGACCGGCCACAUUGGGACUGAGAUACGGCCCAGACUCCUACGGGAGGCAGCAGUGGGGAAUAUUGCACAAUGGGCGGAAGCCUGAUGCAGCAACGCCGCGUGCGGGAUGACGGCCUUCGGGUUGUAAACCGCUUUCGCCUGUGACGAAGCGUGAGUGACGGUAAUGGGUAAAGAAGCACCGGCUAACUACGUG